Long non-coding RNA from Gossypium raimondii (Peruvian cotton), 502 nucleotides. RefSeq lists it as uncharacterized. The record is from RefSeq and is a predicted model, not a curated record. The transcript is spliced from 2 exons. NCBI's taxonomy places the organism in Eukaryota, Viridiplantae, Streptophyta, Magnoliopsida, Malvales, Malvaceae.
UUGUUAAGUGUUCUCUGCAUAUUUUGACGAUUCAUUAUUAUAUAUAAAGACUAAUUCCUACUUGAGAAAAGAACGAAGCUUUAACUCUUUGGCUAAAAGAUUGCAAUAAGGGGAUAUAAGACUAUUCAUUAUUAUAGUCUAUGUUACUCGGGCUAGUGCUUGAAUGUUGAAUACAUUUUCUAUGUUUUUUCAUAUAUUUGGAGAAUCAUGCUAUUUUGGACUCAUGUUUGAAUAUGUGUUGGAUGCAUGUAUUCUAAUGAAAAUGAAGAGUCCGAAUAACUUAGAACAAGGGAAUUGUGAGACCGCCUGUAGGAUGACUCAAGAAUGACACUGGUAUCACGAACCUCUUCUGGUUUUCUCCAACAUAAACUGCAAAGUAGCCCUUGGGAACUUUCUUAGAACCAACGAUACGAGGCAAGCGGAUAGCCAUGGUUGUUUUCCAAUAGAGGUAUGCUUCAAAAGGGUAGAAGAAGAUCUCCGAGAACUGUAGUACUUUGAGGAU